UACGUAGGUGGCGAGCGUUAUCCGGAUUUACUGGGCGUAAAGCGCUUGUAGGCGGCUUCGUAAGUUGGGCGUGAAAGCUCCGGGCUUAACCCGGAGAGGCCGUCCAAUACUGCGGAGCUCGAGGGUGCCAGAGGAAGGUGGAAUUCCUGGUGUAGCGGUGAAAUGCGUAGAGAUCAGGAGGAACACCCGUGGCGAAGGCGGCUUUCUGGGGCAUUCCUGACGAUGAGAAGCGAAAGAUAGGGGAGCAAACAGG
This 253-nucleotide ribosomal RNA is filed under the name uncultured bacterium. RNAcentral's name for it is "partial 16S ribosomal RNA". It matches the Rfam family "Bacterial small subunit ribosomal RNA", at positions 524 to 776 of the family's 1533-position model. The record is from RNAcentral.